Molecule: ribosomal RNA, 1371 nt
Filed under: uncultured bacterium
Lineage: Bacteria
Description: 16S ribosomal RNA
Rfam family: Bacterial small subunit ribosomal RNA
Source: RNAcentral
GAUGAACGCUGGCGGCGUGCCUAAUACAUGCAAGUCGAGCGAACGGACGAGAAGCUUGCUUCUCUGAUGUUAGCGGCGGACGGGUGAGUAACACGUGGAUAACCUACCUAUAAGACUGGGAUAACUUCGGGAAACCGGAGCUAAUACCGGAUAAUAUUUUGAACCGCAUGGUUCAAAAGUGAAAGACGGUCUUGCUGUCACUUAUAGAUGGAUCCGCGCUGCAUUAGCCAGUUGGUAAGGUAACGGCUUACCAAGGCAACGAUGCAUAGCCGACCUGAGAGGGUGAUCGGCCACACUGGAACUGAGACACGGUCCAGACUCCUACGGGAGGCAGCAGUAGGGAAUCUUCCGCAAUGGGCGAAAGCCUGACGGAGCAACGCCGCGUGAGUGAUGAAGGUCUUCGGAUCGUAAAACUCUGUUAUUAGGGAAGAACAUAUGUGUAAGUAACUGUGCACAUCUUGACGGUACCUAAUCAGAAAGCCACGGCUAACUACGUGCCAGCAGCCGCGGUAAUACGUAGGUGGGAAGCGUUAUCCGGAAUUAUUGGGCGUAAAGCGCGCGUAGGCGGUUUUUUAGUCUGAUGUGAAAGCCCACGGCUCAACCGUGGAGGGUCAUUGGAAACUGGAAAACUUGAGUGCAGAAGAGGAAAGUGGAAUUCCAUGUGUAGCGGUGAAAUGCGCAGAGAUAUGGAGGAACACCAGUGGCGAAGGCGACUUUCUGGUCUGUAACUGACGCUGAUGUGCGAAAGCGUGGGGAUCAAACAGGAUUAGAUACCCUGGUAGUCCACGCCGUAAACGAUGAGUGCUAAGUGUUAGGGGGUUUCCGCCCCUUAGUGCUGCAGCUAACGCAUUAAGCACUCCGCCUGGGGAGUACGACCGCAAGGUUGAAACUCAAAGGAAUUGACGGGGACCCGCACAAGCGGUGGAGCAUGUGGUUUAAUUCGGAGCAACGCGAAGAACCUUACCAAAUCUUGACAUCCUUUGACAACUCUAGAGAUAGAGCCUUCCCCUUCGGGGGACAAAGUGACAGGUGGUGCAUGGUUGUCGUCAGCUCGUGUCGUGAGAUGUUGGGUUAAGUCCCGCAACGAGCGCAACCCUUAAGCUUAGUUGCCAUCAUUAAGUUGGGCACUCUAAGUUGACUGCCGGUGACAAACCGGAGGAAGGUGGGGAUGACGUCAAAUCAUCAUGCCCCUUAUGAUUUGGGCUACACACGUGCUACAAUGGACAAUACAAAGGGCAGCGAAACCGCGAGGUCAAGCAAAUCCCAUAAAGUUGUUCUCAGUUCGGAUUGUAGUCUGCAACUCGACUACAUGAAGCUGGAAUCGCUAGUAAUCGUAGAUCAGCAUGCUACGGUGAAUACGUUCCCGGGUCU